UCUCGGACCACGUGAGUGUGCAGCAAGGACAACGCAGCGGGUCCAGGACACAACUCCAAUGUGGUCCUUCC
Molecule: small nucleolar RNA, 71 nt
Filed under: Trypanosoma cruzi
Lineage: Eukaryota; Euglenozoa; Kinetoplastea; Trypanosomatida; Trypanosomatidae
Description: H/ACA snoRNA
Source: RNAcentral